AUGUAGGUUGCCCUAGGGAGAGAAGACUGCUCUAGCCCUCUCAUGGCAGCAACUUGGAGCCAGGCUCACAUCACUACCGCAAAUACUACUUGUAACUCUGAAAUUGGCCUGAUAAUGGGAAGGGCUUCUAUUAUCUUCUAUCUUCUCCUGGAAGAAGCCAGCAGAGUUUGGACAGUGGACUCCUAGCAACAGAACAGAUGAAGUGGUUUAGUGGCUGAAACUGCCAACAACCAUUGUGACUUCAGAACAUUGAGCUUGAUCAAAUUUUUUGGAUGGAACAAUUUUCAAUAAUUACAGUUUAGGACAAAUUGAAUUGUUGCAUCG
Molecule: long non-coding RNA, 324 nt
Organism: Pelodiscus sinensis (Chinese soft-shelled turtle)
Lineage: Eukaryota; Metazoa; Chordata; Testudines; Trionychidae
Source: RefSeq, a predicted model, not a curated record